RNAcentral lists this ribosomal RNA (626 nucleotides) under uncultured bacterium. Its description in RNAcentral is "bacterial SSU rRNA". It matches the Rfam family "Bacterial small subunit ribosomal RNA", at positions 28 to 635 of the family's 1533-position model. The record is from RNAcentral.
AACGAACGUUAGCGGCGCGCCUAACACAUGCAAGUCGCACGAGAAAGGGCUUCGGCCCCGGUAAAGUGGCGCACGGGUGAGUAACACGUAGGUAAUCUACCUCUUAGUUGGGGAUAACCCUCCGAAAGGAGGGCUAAUACCGUAUGAGACCACGGGUCCUUUGGUCCUGAGGCAAAAGCAGGCCUCUUCAUGAAAGCUUGCGCUAAGAGAUGAGCCUGCGGCCCAUCAGCUUGUUGGCGGGGUAAAAGCCCACCAAGGCUAAGACGGGUAGCUGGUCUGAGGGGAUGAACAGCCACACUGGAACUGAGACACGGUCCAGACUCCUACGGGAGGCAGCAGUGGGGAAUCUUGCGCAAUGGGCGAAAGCCUGACGCAGCGACGCCGCGUGAGCGAUGAAGGCCCUCGGGUCGUAAAGCUCUGUGGGGAGAGAAGAAUAAGGCUUGGUUAAUAUCCAAGUUGAUGACGGUAUCUCCUUAGCAAGCACCGGCUAACUCUGUGCCAGCAGCCGCGGUAAGACAGAGGGUGCAAACGUUGUUCGGAAUCACUGGGCGUAAAGCGCGUGUAGGCGGCAACGCAAGUCGGGUGUGAAAGCCCACGGCUCAACCGUGGAAGUGCAUUCGAAACUG